Mus caroli (Ryukyu mouse) is the source of this 93-nucleotide small nucleolar RNA. RefSeq annotates it as small nucleolar RNA SNORD116. The record is from RefSeq and is a predicted model, not a curated record. NCBI's taxonomy places the organism in Eukaryota, Metazoa, Chordata, Mammalia, Rodentia, Muridae.
GGAUCUAUGAUGAUUCCUUAUCAAACAUUCCUUGGAAAUCUGAACAAAAAAAGUGAAAAUUCUGUACCACAUCUAUCAUCUGGACUGUGGUCC